Molecule: ribosomal RNA, 502 nt
Filed under: uncultured bacterium
Lineage: Bacteria
Description: bacterial SSU rRNA
Rfam family: Bacterial small subunit ribosomal RNA
Source: RNAcentral
AACGAACGUUAGCGGCGCGCCUAACACAUGCAAGUCGUGCGAGAAAGGGCUUCGGCCCCGGUAAAGCGGCGCACGGGUGAGUAACACGUAGGUAAUCUACCCUCGAGCGGGGGAUAACCCUCCGAAAGGAGGACUAAUACCGCAUAAGACCACGGCUCUUCGGUGCCGUGGCCAAAGCGGGCCUCUUUAUGAAAGCUCGCACUCGAGGAUGAGCCUGCGGCCCAUCAGGUAGUUGGUGGGGUAAUGGCCUACCAAGCCCGAGACGGGUAGCUGGUCUGAGAGGAUGAGCAGCCACACUGGAACUGAGACACGGUCCAGACUCCUACGGGAGGCAGCAGUGGGGAAUCUUGCGCAAUGGGCGAAAGCCUGACGCAGCGACGCCGCGUGAGCGAUGAAGGCCCUCGGGUUGUAAAGCUCUGUGGGGAGGGAAGAAUAAGGUUCGGCUAAUACCCGAGCUGAUGACGGUACCUCCUUAGCAAGCACCGGCUAACUCUGUGCCAGC